UACGGGGGGGGCAAGCGUUGUUCGGAAUUACUGGGCGUAAAGGGCUCGUAGGCGGCCAACUAAGUCGGACGUGAAAUCCCCGGGCUUAACCUGGGAACUGCGUUUGAAACUGGGAGGCUAGAGUGUGGCAGAGGGGGGUGGAAUUCCACGUGUAGCAGUGAAAUGCGUAGAUAUGUGGAGGAACACCGAUGGCGAAGGCAGCCCCCUGGGCCUGCACUGACGCUCAUGCACGAAAGCGUGGGGAGCAAACAGG
Molecule: ribosomal RNA, 253 nt
Filed under: uncultured bacterium
Lineage: Bacteria
Description: partial 16S ribosomal RNA
Rfam family: Bacterial small subunit ribosomal RNA
Source: RNAcentral